This is a non-coding RNA of Nephila pilipes (giant wood spider), 81 nucleotides long. The record is from the annotation of a GenBank genome assembly. NCBI's taxonomy places the organism in Eukaryota, Metazoa, Arthropoda, Arachnida, Araneae, Nephilidae.
GGCGUGGUGGCUUAGUGGUCAUAGUCACGGACUCGCGCUUCGUCGUUCGUGGGUUCAAAAUUUGAUGCCACUCAUGAUCCG